CCUACGGGCGGCAGCAGUGAGGAAUAUUGGUCAAUGGGCGGGAGCCUGAACCAGCCAAGUCGCGUGAGGGAAGACGGUCCUAUGGAUUGUAAACCUCUUUAGGCGGGGAGCAAUGCCGGGCACGUGUGCCCGGAGGGAGAGUACCCGCAGAAUAAGCAUCGGCUAACUCCGUGCCAGCAGCCGCGGUAAUACGGAGGAUGCGAGCUUUACCCGGUUUUAUUGGGUUUAAAGGGUGCGUAGGCGGAUUGUUAAGUCAGCGGUAAAAUGUUCGGGCUCAACCCGGGCAGGCGGUUGAAACUGGGGAUCUUGAGUGGGCAAGAAGUAUGCGGAAUGCGUGGUGUAGCGGUGAAAUGCGUAGAUAUCACGCAGAACUCCGGUUGCGAAGGCAGCAGACCGGCGCCCGACUGACGCUGAGGCACGAAAGCGUGGGGAUCGAACAGGAUUAGAUACCCGAGUAGUC
RNAcentral lists this ribosomal RNA (460 nucleotides) under uncultured bacterium. Its description in RNAcentral is "partial 16S ribosomal RNA". It matches the Rfam family "Bacterial small subunit ribosomal RNA", at positions 338 to 795 of the family's 1533-position model. The record is from RNAcentral.